UACGGAGGGUGCAAGCGUUAUCCGGAUUCACUGGGCUUAAAGGGUGCGUAGGUGGGUUGGUAAGUCAGUGGUGAAAUCCCCGAGCUUAACUUGGGAACUGCCAUUGAUACUAUCAGUCUUGAAUACCGUGGAGGUCGGCGGAAUAUGUCAUGUAGCGGUGAAAUGCUUAGAUAUGACAUAGAACACCAAUUGCGAAGGCAGCUGACUACGCGAGUAUUGACACUGAGGCACGAAAGCGUGGGGAGCAAACAGG
This 253-nucleotide ribosomal RNA is filed under the name uncultured bacterium. RNAcentral's name for it is "partial 16S ribosomal RNA". It matches the Rfam family "Bacterial small subunit ribosomal RNA", at positions 524 to 776 of the family's 1533-position model. The record is from RNAcentral.